Molecule: long non-coding RNA, 625 nt
Filed under: Musa acuminata (dwarf banana)
Lineage: Eukaryota; Viridiplantae; Streptophyta; Magnoliopsida; Zingiberales; Musaceae
Description: long non-coding RNA (MACU_LNC005153)
Source: RNAcentral
CGUCUGCUCCCACACCACACAGCCGCCGCCAUUGUCAAAGUUACAGACGGUCAACGGCAUCGAGACACAACUCAUACUUAUCGCAAUUGAAUUAACCGGACUGAUCCAGAAGAUGAAUUCGGUGAUGAAUGUUCAUUAACCUAAUCCAAAGAACGACAGCACAUCCGACAGACGACCUUCAUGAUUGACUCUACGCAUUGGGCAACAGGCGCACACUAAUAUCUGACCCUUGGCAACCAGCGAGAGCCAAGCCGCAACUGGUCUUCCCCGUCUUUUAUUUUGUUUGGAUACGGCACAGCUAAACAUCUAGCUAAUCUUCAACCGAUUCAAUACUUUUCUUACCCAUCGGAGGGUAGAUUUACUGGGCGGCGGACAAAUAAUGGGUACGAAAAUAUCUGAAUCCGGAAACCCAAAUCUAAGUUGUCGCUGAUAACGAGAGUUAACGCUGAUAUUAUAUACUAAUUUCUACUGCAUAGGAACGAUUACUGCUACGGCACAACAACGGAGAUCUGAGGGACUCACACUGGUGCUUGCGUCGGUGGAAGAGGCCGAGCCACUUGAGGCGGACGUCGAUGUCGUCCUUGUGGACCUUGGUCGCGUCGAUCUCCUCCAUCGACUUGGCGGC